RNAcentral lists this ribosomal RNA (305 nucleotides) under uncultured bacterium. RNAcentral describes it as "bacterial SSU rRNA". It matches the Rfam family "Bacterial small subunit ribosomal RNA", at positions 334 to 656 of the family's 1533-position model. The record is from RNAcentral.
UGUCCCUACGGGGCGCAGCAGUGGGGAAUAUUGCACAAUGGGGGAAACCCUGAUGCAGCGACGCCGCGUGAGCGAAGAAGUAUUUCGGUAUGUAAAGCUCUAUCAGCAGGGAAGAAAAUGACGGUACCUGACUAAGAAGCUCCGGCUAAAUACGUGCCAGCAGCCGCGGUAAUACGUAUGGAGCAAGCGUUAUCCGGAUUUACUGGGUGUAAAGGGGGCGCAGACGGCGAUGCAAGCCAGGAGUGAAAGCCCGGGGCCCAACCCCGGGACUGCUCUUGGAACUGCGUGGCUGGAGUGCAGGAGGG